CUUCCCCACGGGCAGUCCCCGCCAACUGACGAUCCGUGGUGGUAGUUGUUACACUUCCCCACGGGCAGUCCCCGGGAAACCUUUAAGUCUUUGGGUUCCGGGGGAAGUAUGGUUGCAAAGCUGAAACUUAAAGGAAUUGACGGAAGGGCACCACCAGGAGUGGAGCCUGCGGCUUAAUUUGACUCAACACGGGAAAACUCACCCGGGCCGGACACUAUGAGGAUUGACAGAUUGAUAGCUCUUUCUUGAUUUGGUGGUUGGUGGUGCAUGGCCGUUCUUAGUUGGUGGAGCGAUUUGUCUGGUUAAUUCCGAUAACGAACGAGACUCCAGCCUGCUAAUUAGGGCAUUUGUCCACUGUGCCAGCCAAGCGGCGCUGUGUCAGCUGCUUGGGUUCAGUGUGGGAAUUCAACAUUGCGUCUGUGAGUUAGCACACAUAGCUGUAUAUUGUACUGCCUGUACUGUAGUUACGGCUAUAGUAUAUGGUGUGUGCGAUGUGUGGUUGUGUGAUCGCUAAUAUGCAGUCGUAAUGACCUACAUGUAGUAUCCGGUGGAUGGCACGACGUUAGCUAGCAGGUGCGGCGCAAAUGCCUACUUCUUAGAGGGACACGCGGGAGAAGCCGCACGAAAUAGAGCAAUAACAGGUCUGUGAUGCCCUUAGAUGUCCGGGGCCGCACGCGCGCUACAAUGGCGGUGUCAACGAGUCAGACCUUCUGGCCUGAAAAGGCUGGGUAAACUGGUCAAUCACCGUCAUGACAGGGAUCGGGGCUUGGAAUUAUUCCCCGUGAACGAGGAAUUCCUAGUAAGUGCAAGUCAUAAGCUUGCGCUGAUUACGUCCCUGCCCUUUGUACACACCGCCCGUCGCUACUACCGAUUGAAUGGUUUAGUAAGGUCCUUGGAUUGGCGCCAUCUUGGUGCCCCGAAAGGUGGCUACCUGGCCGGU
RNAcentral lists this ribosomal RNA (940 nucleotides) under Bertiella studeri. Its description in RNAcentral is "bacterial SSU rRNA". It matches the Rfam family "Eukaryotic small subunit ribosomal RNA", at positions 1015 to 1756 of the family's 1831-position model. Lineage: Eukaryota; Metazoa; Platyhelminthes; Cestoda; Cyclophyllidea; Anoplocephalidae. The record is from RNAcentral.